GCCGGGGUGGCGGAACUGGCAGACGCAGCGGACUCAAAAUCCGCCGCCGCAAGGCUUAGGGGUUCGAGUCCCCUCCCCGGUA
RNAcentral lists this transfer RNA (82 nucleotides) under Gemmatimonadota bacterium. Its description in RNAcentral is "Gemmatimonadetes bacterium (soil metagenome) tRNA-Leu". It matches the Rfam family "tRNA". From Rfam's summary of the family: Transfer RNA (tRNA) molecules are approximately 80 nucleotides in length. Their secondary structure includes four short double-helical elements and three loops (D, anti-codon, and T loops). Lineage: Bacteria; Pseudomonadati; Gemmatimonadota. RNAcentral also lists the same sequence under 1 other name. The record is from RNAcentral.